CACGAGUAACAUACGAGUACACACGAGUAACAUACGAGUAAAUACGAGUACAUACGAGUACAUAUGAGUACAUACGAGUAAAAUACGAGUACAUACGAGUAAAAUACGAGAAUUAGCACGCUUUCUUUAAAGUUUCCUUCACUUUCACACUUUCACUUUGGCUUCGUAUUAUGUACAUGUUGUAAAUGCCUUAUUGACAUAGGCGUACAAGACAGGGGGUGGGGGGGGGGGGCAACUGCCCCCCCAAAAUUUUGGAAAACCAUGGAAAUUCGGGCAAACGCUAGGAAAAAUCAAGAAAAUUC
Molecule: non-coding RNA, 302 nt
Organism: Paramuricea clavata
Lineage: Eukaryota; Metazoa; Cnidaria; Anthozoa; Malacalcyonacea; Plexauridae
Source: the annotation of a GenBank genome assembly